This 44-nucleotide non-coding RNA is filed under the name Schistosoma curassoni. The record is from RNAcentral. Lineage: Eukaryota; Metazoa; Platyhelminthes; Trematoda; Strigeidida; Schistosomatidae.
ACCAGCUGACGAGUCCCAAAUAGGACGAAACGCGCGUUCUGGAU